Long non-coding RNA from Mauremys reevesii (Reeves's turtle), 1934 nucleotides. RefSeq lists it as uncharacterized. The transcript is spliced from 3 exons. The record is from RefSeq and is a predicted model, not a curated record. NCBI's taxonomy places the organism in Eukaryota, Metazoa, Chordata, Testudines, Geoemydidae.
CUCUCUGUCCUUGCCUCUUCUUGUGCUGUCUUCCUUCGUAGGACAAGGGCAGGUGGGUUAGGUGUGCAUCCCCACAGGCUAGGUCUUGUGAGCUAUGAACAAGUAGGGGACCGAAAUGAUGCUGGGCAGUGGGCGCUAGAGUGAAGCGGUGACUGUGGGUGUUGACUUAGUCUCUGCUCUAGUAGGGCUGAUGUGGGAGGCAGGGAUGAGGGCAAGAUUUCACGCACCAAUUGAAUUUUUUGUAGUGAGGGCUCUUGCUUGGCUUAUUUGCUGCACUUGUAGAGGAAUUGUCCAGGAGCAGGCAGCCAGAGGAGAAAUUGGCAGAUGUGGGCCUGAGGAGCCUGGACAUUCUUCUAAGGAGACAUGAACAGUCCUCAGCUUUCUGCCUCGUGCAUAACUGGCUGUGGUACCAAGGGAAAAGAAGUGACGAGUCAGAGUCUACUGCCCUCAUGCGAUGGAAAGCGAGUGAGAGUGAUGGGACUGCGAGAAUUAUUGAUGCCUUGAAAAAGCCGUCCAACUGGGAAUGGAACAGUCAUCACUGUCAAUGAGAUAAGUGUCUGUUUUGGUGAUUGCUCUGCUCACGGCCCACCUUGCUCCUGAAAGGGAUGCCCCGUUUGCUGAGGCUGUGUUUGUAAGAAAAGGUUCCUGACUAGUUGUGGUUUUGAGAGAGAGAGAAGAUUCCCAUUUUUAGGGGCUGCUCAGUUUUCUGGCCAGGAGCAGUGUGUCCUAUGCAGCAGAAGGUUGCAUCUAGGAGAAUGAGUCCAGGUGGUGAAUUGCUUGCCUUUCUCUCGUGUUUCUCUCUCUUCUCUAGUGUGUUGGCCAACACUCUUUCUCAAUCUGUCCUUGCCUUUCAUUGUGCUGUCUCCCUUCUUAGGAUAUCGGCAGGCGAGCUAGGUGUGCACCCCCACAGGUUGUGUCUUGGGAGCCAUAAAGAAGUAGGAGGGGACGAAAAUCAUGCGGGGCAGUCGGUGUGAGACUGGAGCGAUGACUGUUGGUGUUGUGGGGCUAAGACAGAUCGAAAGCGACGCAGGGAAGAGGGCCUUAAUUGGGCUCUAUGUAGUGCGGGAGUUCUCAAACUGGGGUUUAGGUCCCGUCAAGGGGCCGCAAGGUUGUUAUCUGGGGGGUUGUGAAAUGUCAUCCUCCAUCCUAAACAUCACUUUGCUUCCAGCAUUUAUAAUGGUGUUGAAUAUACAAAAAGUGUUUUUAAUUUAUAAGGGGAGGGUCACACUCAGAAGCUUUCUAUGUAAAAGGGAUCAUCAGUACAAAAGGUUGAGAACCACUGGUGUAGUGAUAGUUCUUGCUUGCCUUCAUUAAUUUGCAGAGGAAUUGUCCAGGAGUCUCAGCUGGAGAAGAAGCUGGCAGAAGUGGACCUGAACUGCCUAGACAUCCUUCUAAGGAGACAUGAACAGUCCUCAGCUUUCUGCAUUCUGGAUAACUGGCUAUGAUACCAAGGAAAAAUAAGUCACAUGUCAGUCUACUGCCCUCAUGCAAUGGAAAGUGAGUGAGAGCAGCGAGCCUGUGAGCAUUGUUCAUGCCAGGCAAGAGCCGUUCAUUUGGGAGCCAAGCAGAUGUCACUGUCAGUGAGAUAAGUGUCUGUUUUGCUGAGGGUUCUGUUAUCAGCCAAUCUGACUCCAGGUACAGACACCCUGUUAGCUGGGGCUGAUUUGUCAGAAGAGUUUCCUGACUAGCUGGGGAGACAAGGUCCCCAUUUUCAGGGGCUUGUCAUUUCUCUGUUCACAAGGAGUGUAUCCUCCUCAGGAGAAGGUUGGAUCCAGGAGGAUGACUCCAGAUGGUGAGUUACUUGCCUUUCUCCUGUGUUUCUCUCUCUCUCUCUUCUCUAGUGUGUUGGCCAACACUCUUUCUCUCUGUCUCUGUCCUUGCCUCUCCUUGUGCCGUCUCCCUUCAUAGAACAGGGGCAGGAGUGCUAGGUGUGC